RNAcentral lists this ribosomal RNA (397 nucleotides) under uncultured bacterium. Its description in RNAcentral is "partial 16S ribosomal RNA". It matches the Rfam family "Bacterial small subunit ribosomal RNA", at positions 523 to 918 of the family's 1533-position model. The record is from RNAcentral.
AUACGAAGGGUGCAAGCGUUACUCGGAAUUACUGGGCGUAAAGCGUGCGUAGGUGGUUGUUUAAGUCUGUCGUGAAAGCCCUGGGCUCAACCUGGGAAUGGCGAUGGAAACUGGGCGACUAGAGUGUGGCAGAGGGUAGUGGAAUUCCUGGUGUAGCAGUGAAAUGCGUAGAGAUCAGGAGGAACAUCCGUGGCGAAGGCGACUGCCUGGGCCAACACUGACGCUGAGGCACGAAAGCGUGGGGAGCAAACAGGAUUAGAUACCCUGGUAGUCCACGCCCUAAACGAUGCGAACUGGAUGUUGGGUGCAAUUUGGCACGCAGUAUCGAAGCUAACGCGUUAAGUUCGCCGCCUGGGGAGUACGGUCGCAAGACUGAAACUCAAAUGAAUUGACGGGG